RNAcentral lists this ribosomal RNA (266 nucleotides) under uncultured prokaryote. RNAcentral's name for it is "partial 16S ribosomal RNA". It matches the Rfam family "Bacterial small subunit ribosomal RNA", at positions 524 to 790 of the family's 1533-position model. The record is from RNAcentral.
UACGUAGGUGGCGAGCGUUGUCCGGAUUUACUGGGCGUAAAGGGAGCGUAGGCGGACUUUUAAGUGAGAUGUGAAAUACCCGGGCUCAACUUGGGUGCUGCAUUUCAAACUGGAAGUCUAGAGUGCAGGAGAGGAGAAUGGAAUUCCUAGUGUAGCGGUGAAAUGCGUAGAUAUUGGGAAGAACACCGGUGGCGAAGGCGACUUGCUGGGCAGCAACUGACGCUGAGGCGCGAAAGCCAGGGGAGCAAACGGGAUUAGAUAUCCGU